RNAcentral lists this non-coding RNA (31 nucleotides) under Rattus norvegicus (Norway rat). The record is from RNAcentral. Lineage: Eukaryota; Metazoa; Chordata; Mammalia; Rodentia; Muridae.
UGGGGUUGCUUCACUCUGGAUUUUAUCCCGU